RNAcentral lists this ribosomal RNA (2116 nucleotides) under Salmonella enterica subsp. enterica serovar Enteritidis. Its description in RNAcentral is "partial 23S ribosomal RNA". It matches the Rfam family "Bacterial large subunit ribosomal RNA", at positions 767 to 2859 of the family's 2925-position model. Lineage: Bacteria; Pseudomonadati; Pseudomonadota; Gammaproteobacteria; Enterobacterales; Enterobacteriaceae. The record is from RNAcentral.
UGGAGGACCGAACCGACUAAUGUUGAAAAAUUAGCGGAUGACCUGUGGCUGGGGGUGAAAGGCCAAUCAAACCGGGAGAUAGCUGGUUCUCCCCGAAAGCUAUUUAGGUAGCGCCUCGUGAAUUCAUCUCCGGGGGUAGAGCACUGUUUCGGCUAGGGGGCCAUCCCGGCUUACCAACCCGAUGCAAACUGCGAAUACCGGAGAAUGUUAUCACGGGAGACACACGGCGGGUGCUAACGUCCGUCGUGAAGAGGGAAACAACCCAGACCGCCAGCUAAGGUCCCAAAGUCAUGGUUAAGUGGGAAACGAUGUGGGAAGGCCCAGACAGCCAGGAUGUUGGCUUAGAAGCAGCCAUCAUUUAAAGAAAGCGUAAUAGCUCACUGGUCGAGUCGGCCUGCGCGGAAGAUGUAACGGGGCUAAACCAUGCACCGAAGCUGCGGCAGCGACACUGUGUGUUGUUGGGUAGGGGAGCGUUCUGUAAGCCUGUGAAGGUGUGUCGUGAGGCAUGCUGGAGGUAUCAGAAGUGCGAAUGCUGACAUAAGUAACGAUAAAGCGGGUGAAAAGCCCGCUCGCCGGAAGACCAAGGGUUCCUGUCCAACGUUAAUCGGGGCAGGGUGAGUCGACCCCUAAGGCGAGGCCGAAAGGCGUAGUCGAUGGGAAACGGGUUAAUAUUCCCGUACUUGGUGUUACUGCGAAGGGGGGACGGAGAAGGCUAUGUUGGCCGGGCGACGGUUGUCCCGGUUUAAGCGUGUAGGUGUGUGUUCCAGGUAAAUCCGGUUCACUUUAACACUGAGGCGUGACGACGAGGCACUACGGUGCUGAAGCAACAAAUGCCCUGCUUCCAGGAAAAGCCUCUAAGCAUCAGGUAACAUCAAAUCGUACCCCAAACCGACACAGGUGGUCAGGUAGAGAAUACCAAGGCGCUUGAGAGAACUCGGGUGAAGGAACUAGGCAAAAUGGUGCCGUAACUUCGGGAGAAGGCACGCUGACACGUAGGUGAAGUGAUUUACUCAUGGAGCUGAAGUCAGUCGAAGAUACCAGCUGGCUGCAACUGUUUAUUAAAAACACAGCACUGUGCAAACACGAAAGUGGACGUAUACGGUGUGACGCCUGCCCGGUGCCGGAAGGUUAAUUGAUGGGGUCAGCGCAAGCGAAGCUCCUGAUCGAAGCCCCGGUAAACGGCGGCCGUAACUAUAACGGUCCUAAGGUAGCGAAAUUCCUUGUCGGGUAAGUUCCGACCUGCACGAAUGGCGUAAUGAUGGCCAGGCUGUCUCCACCCGAGACUCAGUGAAAUUGAACUCGCUGUGAAGAUGCAGUGUACCCGCGGCAAGACGGAAAGACCCCGUGAACCUUUACUAUAGCUUGACACUGAACAUUGAGCCUUGAUGUGUAGGAUAGGUGGGAGGCUUUGAAGUGUGGACGCCAGUCUGCAUGGAGCCGACCUUGAAAUACCACCCUUUAAUGUUUGAUGUUCUAACGUGGACCCGUUACCCGGGUUGCGGACAGUGUCUGGUGGGUAGUUUGACUGGGGCGGUCUCCUCCUAAAGAGUAACGGAGGAGCACGAAGGUUGGCUAAUCCUGGUCGGACAUCAGGAGGUUAGUGCAAUGGCAUAAGCCAGCUUGACUGCGAGCGUGACGGCGCGAGCAGGUGCGAAAGCAGGUCAUAGUGAUCCGGUGGUUCUGAAUGGAAGGGCCAUCGCUCAACGGAUAAAAGGUACUCCGGGGAUAACAGGCUGAUACCGCCCAAGAGUUCAUAUCGACGGCGGUGUUUGGCACCUCGAUGUCGGCUCAUCACAUCCUGGGGCUGAAGUAGGUCCCAAGGGUAUGGCUGUUCGCCAUUUAAAGUGGUACGCGAGCUGGGUUUAGAACGUCGUGAGACAGUUCGGUCCCUAUCUGCCGUGGGCGCUGGAGAACUGAGGGGGGCUGCUCCUAGUACGAGAGGACCGGAGUGGACGCAUCACUGGUGUUCGGGUUGUCAUGCCAAUGGCACUGCCCGGUAGCUAAAUGCGGAAGAGAUAAGUGCUGAAAGCAUCUAAGCACGAAACUUGCCCCGAGAUGAGUUCUCCCUGAGACUUAAAGUCUCCUGAAGGAACGUUGAAGACGACGACGUUGAUAG